This 730-nucleotide ribosomal RNA is filed under the name uncultured Serratia sp. RNAcentral describes it as "bacterial SSU rRNA". It matches the Rfam family "Bacterial small subunit ribosomal RNA", at positions 771 to 1501 of the family's 1533-position model. Lineage: Bacteria; Pseudomonadati; Pseudomonadota; Gammaproteobacteria; Enterobacterales; Yersiniaceae. The record is from RNAcentral.
AACAGGAUUAGAUACCCUGGUAGUCCACGCUGUAAACGAUGUCGAUUUGGAGGUUGUGCCCUUGAGGCGUGGCUUCCGGAGCUAACGCGUUAAAUCGACCGCCUGGGGAGUACGGCCGCAAGGUUAAAACUCAAAUGAAUUGACGGGGGCCCGCACAAGCGGUGGAGCAUGUGGUUUAAUUCGAUGCAACGCGAAGAACCUUACCUACUCUUGACAUCCAGAGAACUUUCCAGAGAUGGAUUGGUGCCUUCGGGAACUCUGAGACAGGUGCUGCAUGGCUGUCGUCAGCUCGUGUUGUGAAAUGUUGGGUUAAGUCCCGCAACGAGCGCAACCCUUAUCCUUUGUUGCCAGCGGUUCGGCCGGGAACUCAAAGGAGACUGCCAGUGAUAAACUGGAGGAAGGUGGGGAUGACGUCAAGUCAUCAUGGCCCUUACGAGUAGGGCUACACACGUGCUACAAUGGCGUAUACAAAGAGAAGCGACCUCGCGAGAGCAAGCGGACCUCAUAAAGUACGUCGUAGUCCGGAUUGGAGUCUGCAACUCGACUCCAUGAAGUCGGAAUCGCUAGUAAUCGUAGAUCAGAAUGCUACGGUGAAUACGUUCCCGGGCCUUGUACACACCGCCCGUCACACCAUGGGAGUGGGUUGCAAAAGAAGUAUGUAGCUUAACCUUCGGGAGGGCGCUUACCACUUUGUGAUUCAUGACUGGGGUGAAGUCGUAACAAGGUAGCC